Molecule: ribosomal RNA, 460 nt
Filed under: uncultured bacterium
Lineage: Bacteria
Description: partial 16S ribosomal RNA
Rfam family: Bacterial small subunit ribosomal RNA
Source: RNAcentral
CCUACGGGAGGCAGCAGUGAGGAAUAUUGGUCAAUGGACGAGAGUCUGAACCAGCCAAGUAGCGUGAAGGAUGACUGCCCUAUGGGUUGUAAACUUCUUUUAUAUGGGAAUAAAAUGUUCCACGUGUGGGAUUUUGUAUGUACCAUAUGAAUAAGGAUCGGCUAACUCCGUGCCAGCAGCCGCGGUAAUACGGAGGAUCCGAGCGUUAUCCGGAUUUAUUGGGUUUAAAGGGAGCGUAGGUGGAUUGGUAAGUCAGUUGUGAAAGUUUGCGGCUCAACCGUAAAAUUGCAGUUGAAAAUGGCAGUCUUGAGUACAGUAGAGGUGGGCGGAAUUCGUGGUGUAGCGGUGAAAUGCUUAGAUAUCACGAAGAACUCCGAUUGCGAAGGCAGUUCACUGGACUGCAACUGACACUGAGGCUCGAAAGUGUGGGUAUCAAACAGGAUUAGAUACCCUUGUAGUC